CCUACGGGGGGCUGCAGUCGAGAAUCUUCGGCAAUGGGCGAAAGCCUGACCGAGCGACGCCGCGUGCGGGAUGAAGGCCUUCGGGUUGUAAACCGCUGUCAGAGGGGAUGAAGUGUCCGUGGGUUCUCCCAUGGAAUUGACAGAUCCUCAGAGGAAGGGUGGGCUAAGUUCGUGCCAGCAGCCGCGGUAAGACGUACCACCCGAACGUUAUUCGGAUUCACUGGGCUUAAAGAGUCCGUAGGCGGCCUAGUAAGUUGGAUGUGAAAUACCUCGGCUCAACCGAGGAACGGCAUCCAAAACUACUGGGCUUGAGAGAUACAGAGGUGAGCGGAACUGAUGGUGGAGCGGUGAAAUGCGUUGAUAUCAUCAGGAACACCGGUGGCGAAAGCGGCUCACUGGGUAUCUUCUGACGCUGAGGGACGAAAGCUAGGGUAGCGAACGGGCUUAGAUACCCCAGUAGUC
Molecule: ribosomal RNA, 462 nt
Filed under: uncultured Planctomycetaceae bacterium
Lineage: Bacteria; Pseudomonadati; Planctomycetota; Planctomycetia; Planctomycetales; Planctomycetaceae
Description: bacterial SSU rRNA
Rfam family: Bacterial small subunit ribosomal RNA
Source: RNAcentral